Molecule: signal recognition particle RNA, 295 nt
Filed under: Vombatus ursinus (common wombat)
Lineage: Eukaryota; Metazoa; Chordata; Mammalia; Diprotodontia; Vombatidae
Description: Metazoan signal recognition particle RNA (ENSVURG00010011404.1)
Rfam family: Metazoan signal recognition particle RNA
About the family: The signal recognition particle (SRP) is a universally conserved ribonucleoprotein. It is involved in the co-translational targeting of proteins to membranes.
Source: Rfam by way of RNAcentral
AGUGGGACAUGUCCCUAGUCCUUGCUACUAGGGAGUUUGAGGCUAGACGAUCUCUUGAGCUCAGUAAUUCUGAACUAUAGUGGGCUAAGCUGACCUGGUAUCCACAUUCAGUUCAGCAUCACUAUGGUGAGCUUACAGAAAUGAGGAAGGUCACCAGGUUGCCUAAGGAGCAUUGAAAUGGCCCAAGUCAAAAAUGGAAUAGGUGAAAACUUCCAUGCCAAUCAGCAGUGGGGUUGGGCCCAGAGAAUAGUCCCAGCACCCUCAGCCUGGGCAAGAUGGGAAGACCUAUUUUUUU